GUCGAACGCCCCGCAAGGGGAGUGGCAGACGGGUGAGUAACGCGUGGGAACAUACCCUUUCCUGCGGAAUAGCUCCGGGAAACUGGAAUUAAUACCGCAUACGCCCUACGGGGGAAAGAUUUAUCGGGGAAGGAUUGGCCCGCGUUGGAUUAGCUAGUUGGUGGGGUAAAGGCCUACCAAGGCGACGAUCCACAGCUGGUCUGAGAGGAUGAUCAGCCACAUUGGGACUGAGACACGGCCCAAACUCCUACGGGAGGCAGCAGUGGGGAAUAUUGGACAAUGGGCGCAAGCCUGAUCCAGCCAUGCCGCGUGAGUGAUGAAGGCCUUAGGGUUGUAAAGCUCUUUCACCGGAGAAGAUAAUGACGGUAUCCGGAGAAGAAGCCCCGGCUAACUUCGUGCCAGCAGCCGCGGUAAUACGAAGGGGGCUAGCGUUGUUCGGAAUUACUGGGCGUAAAGCGCACGUAGGCGGAUAUUUAAGUCAGGGGUGAAAUCCCAGAGCUCAACUCUGGAACUGCCUUUGAUACUGGGUAUCUUGAGUAUGGAAGAGGUAAGUGGAAUUCCGAGUGUAGAGGUGAAAUUCGUAGAUAUUCGGAGGAACACCAGUGGCGAAGGCGGCUUACUGGUCC
Molecule: ribosomal RNA, 626 nt
Filed under: uncultured bacterium
Lineage: Bacteria
Description: bacterial SSU rRNA
Rfam family: Bacterial small subunit ribosomal RNA
Source: RNAcentral